RNAcentral lists this ribosomal RNA (427 nucleotides) under uncultured bacterium. RNAcentral describes it as "bacterial SSU rRNA". It matches the Rfam family "Bacterial small subunit ribosomal RNA", at positions 355 to 774 of the family's 1533-position model. The record is from RNAcentral.
UGGGGAAUUUUGGACAAUGGGCGCAAGCCUGAUCCAGCAAUGCCGCGUGCAGGAUGAAGGCCUUCGGGUUGUAAACUGCUUUUGUACGGAACGAAACGGCUCUGGUUAAUACCUGGGGCUAAUGACGGUACCGUAAGAAUAAGCACCGGCUAACUACGUGCCAGCAGCCGCGGUAAUACGUAGGGUGCGAGCGUUAAUCGGAAUUACUGGGCGUAAAGCGUGCGCAGGCGGUUAUAUAAGACAGAUGUGAAAUCCCCGGGCUCAACCUGGGAACUGCAUUUGUGACUGUAUAGCUAGAGUACGGCAGAGGGGGAUGGAAUUCCGCGUGUAGCAGUGAAAUGCGUAGAUAUGCGGAGGAACACCGAUGGCGAAGGCAAUCCCCUGGACCUGUACUGACGCUCAUGCACGAAAGCGUGGGGAGUAAACA